This 21-nucleotide small nuclear RNA is filed under the name Arabidopsis thaliana (thale cress). Its description in RNAcentral is "snRNA_02251". The record is from RNAcentral. Lineage: Eukaryota; Viridiplantae; Streptophyta; Magnoliopsida; Brassicales; Brassicaceae.
CAGCCUCUGGUCGAUGGAACA